GCGCUCGUAGCUCAGCUGGAUAGAGUACCUGGCUACGAACCAGGUGGUCGGAGGUUCGAAUCCUCCCGGGCGCACCA
RNAcentral lists this transfer RNA (77 nucleotides) under Aeromonas salmonicida subsp. salmonicida. Its description in RNAcentral is "tRNA-Arg". It matches the Rfam family "tRNA". From Rfam's summary of the family: Transfer RNA (tRNA) molecules are approximately 80 nucleotides in length. Their secondary structure includes four short double-helical elements and three loops (D, anti-codon, and T loops). Further hydrogen bonds mediate the characteristic L-shaped molecular structure. tRNAs have two regions of fundamental functional importance: the anti-codon, which is responsible for specific mRNA codon recognition, and the 3' end, to which the tRNAs corresponding amino acid is attached (by aminoacyl-tRNA synthetases). tRNAs cope with the degeneracy of the genetic code in two manners: having more than one tRNA (with a specific anti-codon) for a particular amino acid; and 'wobble' base-pairing, i.e. permitting non-standard base-pairing at the 3rd anti-codon position. Lineage: Bacteria; Pseudomonadati; Pseudomonadota; Gammaproteobacteria; Aeromonadales; Aeromonadaceae. The record is from RNAcentral.